This 224-nucleotide long non-coding RNA is filed under the name Vigna radiata. RNAcentral's name for it is "long non-coding RNA (VRAD_LNC006168)". The record is from RNAcentral. Lineage: Eukaryota; Viridiplantae; Streptophyta; Magnoliopsida; Fabales; Fabaceae.
GCGAGGAAGGAAUUUCUGAUGUCUUGUAUAAACCGUCUUCUGACCAUGCUUCAAUUGAAGGUAACUAGUGUUUUCUUCACAAAUCGAACAUGCAAAAUGUCCUUUAACACUAUAACCGCUCAAGUUUCCAUAGGCUGGAAAAUCAUUUAUAGUGCAAAACAACAUUGCACGCAAAUGGAAAUUCUCUUCAACAUCUGAAUCAAACACUUCAACAUCUUCUUCCC